AAUUUUUCAUUUUAGAAUGAGACAUAUAUAAGUAUAUAAUUCAUGCUACUUGGAUUUCCACCAUCAUUAAUAAUCUCUAAAACAAAAGAUGUCAUGUCCUUACCAACUAUACACCAAAAUUGUUGAUAAAAUAAAGCUAACAUUCCAUCACGACCUGAGGCAGCAUGAGGCUUUAAAUUUUUAGCAGUUAAGAAAACUACAUUUUUGGUGAACUAUGCUUCCUAAUGUUACACAUAGAAUUUGAAAGUCUAUCUUUGACCACUUCCACAACUUCAAAAAUUCUUUCAAGAUGACUAGUAAAGAAAUUAUUGAAAAUCAAGGUUAUGUCUUCCUCAUCAUCAAAUUUUUCUCCACGAUUAUUUCAGAUACAAUCAACCCAAUUUCUAGAUUUUCUCUUAGAAGCUUUUUGAAUAAAAUAUUUCGUAUUUUUAUCUCCAUGUUUUAACCACAAAACAUGAGACAUCUGAGCCCACCAAAUCUCCUCACUCUCCACCAAAUCAUCCAGUAUAGCCUCCAUUCUUCUUAUUUCUGAAAAAUUACUCCCUUUUUGUUGUGAUUGUUAAUUAAGGUCGUUUAAAUUCUUUUGAGAAAUUUUUAUCUAGUUAGAAAUAUCACCGAAGCGCUGACGACCCUAGUUAGAAAGAUCAUUCACACAACGAAUGAUUCUGUCAAACAUAGAAUUUCUUAUCAUCUCCCAAGCACCCAUUACUGCCACUGCCAUUCCACUAUCACAAAAACAACAUUCUUCACAUUGUUGUAUCAAGUGAUCUGAAUCAUGCAUCGGUAAAUGCACCAUUGAAGUCGAAGAAUAAAAUUAUAACCAUCUCGAUGUAGCUACCAUUCUAUCAAGGUGGGCCUUAAUAUUAGAAACUCCAUCCUGAUCAUUAUGCCAAGUAAAUUUUAUCGUCCUGAAAUCCUAAUUCAGAAAGAUUUGAUUUGAAGAGUGUCCUAAAACAUCGAAAUCAGAAUAGAGUUACUGAAAUUCUCACCUUCCUUCUCAUCUUGUCAAAGAAUCAUAUUGAAAUCCCCGAUGAGGAGUCACUUAUCAAUAUUUUACACCAAUACUGAUUGAUCAAUUAAUUCACAUGUUUUAUGUUUCAUUUGAGAGUUCGAAAAACUACACACCUCAAUCAACCUCCAUUUCUCAUCUCCAUCAACCAUAACUAUUAAAACAUUAAUAUGGUUAGGGAAAAAAGAUAAUAUCUCGAAUUUGACGCCUUCCUUCCAAAACAUUGAAAGAUCGCCAACAUGUCUUUUAUCUUCUCUUGCACAACUAACAUGAAUGGCCCUAAUAAACCUUGUCUAUUUUGAAAAUGAUUCAUCUCAAAAUCUUUUUUCUUAGUAUCUAAGAGAAAUACACAAGUGAAAUACUUAUCUCGUAUGAGUUUUUUGAACACUCUAACUGUCUUUGGGUUUCCAAUCCCACGACAAUUCCAAGUUAUGCAACUCAUUAUCUUCGAUAGCUUCAAAAACUCCUUAUUGAAAGGAAAAAAAC
This 1495-nucleotide long non-coding RNA is filed under the name Cicer arietinum (chickpea). RNAcentral's name for it is "long non-coding RNA (CARI_LNC002587)". Lineage: Eukaryota; Viridiplantae; Streptophyta; Magnoliopsida; Fabales; Fabaceae. The record is from RNAcentral.